UUGGAGGGCAAGUCUGGUGCCAGCAGCCGCGGUAAUUCCAGCUCCAAUAGCGUAUAUUAAAGUUGUUGCAGUUAAAAAGCUCGUAGUUGAAUUUCGGGAUCAAGGGAUCGGUCAUGCCUUGGUAUGUACUGGUCUUAUUGGUUCUCACCUUCUAAAGAACCAUGAUGUCAUUCAUUUGAUGUUAUGGGGAAUUAGGACUGUUACCUUGAAAAAAUUAGAGUGUUUAAAGCAGGCUCACGCUUGAAUACAUUAGCAUGGAAUAAUGAAAUAGGACAUCGCAUUCUAUUUUGUUGGUUUCUAGGAUCGAUGUAAUGAUUAAUAGGGAUAGUUGGGGGCAUUAGUAUUCAAUUGUCAGAGGUGAAAUUCUUGGAUUUAUUGAAGACUAACUACUGCGAAAGCAUUUGCCAAGGAUGUUUUCAUUAAUCAAGAACGAAAGUUAGGGGAUCGAAGACGAUCAGAUACCGUCGUAGUCUUAACCAUAAACUAUGCCGACUAGGGAUCGGAUGAUGUUGAUUUUUUAAUGACUCAUUCGGCGCCUUACGGGAAAC
RNAcentral lists this ribosomal RNA (548 nucleotides) under uncultured Funneliformis. Its description in RNAcentral is "SSU rRNA". It matches the Rfam family "Eukaryotic small subunit ribosomal RNA", at positions 548 to 1098 of the family's 1831-position model. Lineage: Eukaryota; Fungi; Glomeromycota; Glomeromycetes; Glomerales; Glomeraceae. The record is from RNAcentral.